Molecule: long non-coding RNA, 1872 nt
Organism: Daktulosphaira vitifoliae (grape phylloxera)
Lineage: Eukaryota; Metazoa; Arthropoda; Insecta; Hemiptera; Phylloxeridae
Exons: 4
Source: RefSeq, a predicted model, not a curated record
CAAAACAUUUAUCCGAACUAUUAAUUAAGAUGAUGCCAUACAGAAAAUAAAACGAUUUUAAACAUGUUUAGGAAAGGAAAACUUUAUUUGAUCUGUAUUGAUGCUAGUGACCCAAAAUUUUUACCAAAUAAUAAAGGAGACAAUUGUCUAUGAAAAAUCGAAAAUUUUGGUGACAAUACAAUUUGAUAAAAGUUUUCCCACACGAAACAGUUAUGCAAAAUAAUUUAUUUUUGUCUAUACACAUGUGUCCAUUGUAGUGGCAUUUCUAACAUGACAAAUUUCCUGUUAAGCAGCGGUAACUGAUUACCCUCACCUUUCAACUGCUCCCUCGACGACAAUCAACACUAGUUAUUUUAUACUUGUUAGUUAUCGAAGCACCGUGAUAUCAUUUAGUAGCAAUCGCUUAUCUGAAUUUAUAAAAACAUUGUUAUUAUUGACGGGUGAUAGGGCUUAAAUUUGAAUUUUUUUGUAUUCAUUUUUACCAAAGAGUUACACUAUGAUUUUUAAGAGGCUUACAAACUAGGCGUUUAAUCGCGCGCGUACGCGUUUUGAACGCGAACGCCGUUCAUGUUAGAGAUGGGAAUUAUGGUUCACCUAAGUGAUCCGAUUCAUUCGAAUCAGGUCAACUAGAAGAUCCGGCUCAAAGACCCGUUUGCGAUCUAAAAGAUAUUUUGAGUCAAUUGAAUGGAACAUUCAGUAUAGUUUUGAUUCUUUUGCGGUUCUCGAUUCGCGAUUCGGAUUAGGGAUGUGUCGUAUAAACAAAUGACAUAUGAAUAUGUUAUCAUGUUAUCAUUGAUAUUUGGUAAGCGAUCAAAUCGGUUCAGUGUGAUUUAUACGGGAAAAAAUUAGUUUUUGGGGGAUCCGGAUCACUACGGUUCGGCGAUCUGAAUCAUUUGGUUCACUAUUUUGACCCGUUCAAUGCGAUCCGUUCGUUCGCGAACGACACAUCUCUAGUUCAUGUGCAUACUACAAGCGUUUUGACGCGUUUUUACAAAGAAAAUUAGCCCGCCAAAAGCUACAGUAUAAUCAUAACAGAUUCCAAAUUCCUCGUGGUAGCAUUUGCUCUGUCUAUUAUGAGCUUGAUGUAUUCAACUAAUGAUGGUCGUUUUAUUUUGACUGAUGCAAAAGUAAACCAUGAACAUUUAUCUAAUGAUGCUCAAAAUACACUUACGAGACUUAAUAAAUUAUUUAUUUAAAGACAAAGCUCGAAAGUAUAUUUUAUACUAUCAAAUCAAAAUAAUUCCAUGUAAAGAAAAAUUAGUGAAACAUUGACAAAACUGUGUACGCCAGUUUUGGAGCAUAGGUGCUAUUGAAAGUAAACGAAAAAAUAAAAACUCUGAAACAUUACCAAUUUUAACAUUCUCUGAUGAAGCUGAAUCAGUAAAGUUUGGUUAAGCACAACUGGGUUUCUUCUAACUUUGAUGAGAUUAAAAAACACUGGAAAUAAGAAUGGCUGAAAUUCGAGGUUUAAUAGUUUAAAUUAUAAAUAGUUUAAAUUAUAAAUAGUUUAAAUGAUAUAAAACAGUUAAUAUCCGAACAGGGCGUACUAUUCUUAUAUUCAAGGAAAAGGGGGACGAACAAAAUUUAUGCAACUGGAGGCCAAUAACGAUUUUCAGCGUAAUUCGUAGAAUCAUAGAAAGAAGUCUAGACCAGGCUUUGAGAGCACGAGUAAAAUGUAGUCAAGUGCAGAGAGGAUUUAUUUGUGGAAUGCCAGGAGCACAUAUAAACGCAUCACUCGUUGAGGGCUGCUUAAGAGUGGCUAGAGAAAAGAAGGACAAUUGUUGUAUAGUAAUGUUAGACUUAGCCAAAGCUUUCGAUACAGUAGGGCACGACCACAUCCGUCGCACGUUGCAAUCUUUAUCACUACCGAAU